RNAcentral lists this transfer RNA (69 nucleotides) under Rattus norvegicus (Norway rat). It matches the Rfam family "tRNA". From Rfam's summary of the family: Transfer RNA (tRNA) molecules are approximately 80 nucleotides in length. The record is from Rfam by way of RNAcentral. Lineage: Eukaryota; Metazoa; Chordata; Mammalia; Rodentia; Muridae.
GGGGAUUUGGCUCAGUGGUAGAGCGGUUGCCUAGCAAGCACAAGGCCCUGGGUUCGGUCCCCAGCUCCG